This 227-nucleotide long non-coding RNA is filed under the name Elaeis guineensis (African oil palm). RNAcentral describes it as "long non-coding RNA (EGUI_LNC051400)". The record is from RNAcentral. Lineage: Eukaryota; Viridiplantae; Streptophyta; Magnoliopsida; Arecales; Arecaceae.
UUGGUGACUCAUUUGGUGCUAUAAAUAGGGGAUGACAGAAGGGUUGAUCAUUCAAUUCUUACAUCUUCUAUCCACUCCUCUCCCUCUCUUACAACUCUAGGGUUUAGGACAAAGGCUUGUUCUUUUAAGACAAGCCUAAUCCUAAUAGUUCUAAGGGUUUAAGAGGUUCAAAAAAAGGUGGUCAGAUCCAGUGGAUGGUUUUGAAUGGUUCAGACUCAGGUCUGAUC